CUGGUUAGAAUGCCUGCCUGUCACGCAGGAGGUCGCGGGUUCGAGUCCCGUCCAUUCCG
This 59-nucleotide transfer RNA is filed under the name Indibacter alkaliphilus LW1. It matches the Rfam family "tRNA", at positions 16 to 71 of the family's 71-position model. Rfam says of the family: Transfer RNA (tRNA) molecules are approximately 80 nucleotides in length. Their secondary structure includes four short double-helical elements and three loops (D, anti-codon, and T loops). The record is from Rfam by way of RNAcentral. Lineage: Bacteria; Pseudomonadati; Bacteroidota; Cytophagia; Cytophagales; Cyclobacteriaceae.